RNAcentral lists this ribosomal RNA (477 nucleotides) under uncultured bacterium. Its description in RNAcentral is "bacterial SSU rRNA". It matches the Rfam family "Bacterial small subunit ribosomal RNA", at positions 365 to 832 of the family's 1533-position model. The record is from RNAcentral.
UUCGCAAUGCCCGAAAGGGUGACGAAGCGACGCCGCGUGGAUGAAGAAGGCCUUCGGGUUGUAAAAUCCUGUCAGGAGUUAAGAGAUAUAAGUUUGAGAAUAUCAAAUUUAUUUGACAAAGGCUCCAGAGGAAGCCGCGGCUAACUCUGUGCCAGCAGCCGCGGUAAUACAGAGGUGGCAAGCGUUGUUCGGAAUUAUUGGGCGUAAAGAGCACGUAGGUGGGUUUGUUAGUCAGAUGUGAAAGCCUUCUGUUCAACGGAAGAAUUGCAUCUGAAACUACAAAUCUUGAGUAUAGGAGGGGAGAGUGGAACUUCUGGUGGAGCGGUGAAAUGCGUAGAUAUCAGAAGGAACGCCGGCGGCGAAAGCGACUCUCUGGCCUAUAUCUGACACUGAGUGUGCGAAAGCUAGGGGAGCAAACGGGAUUAGAUACCCCGGUAGUCCUAGCCGUAAACGAUGGGCACUAAGUAGAGGGGUUUU